UACAGGGGGUGCAAACGUUGCUCGGAAUCACUGGGCGUAAAGGGUGCGUAGGCGGGUUUUUAAGUCAGAGGUGAAAUCCUGGAGCUCAACUCCAGAACUGCCUUUGAUACUGAGAAUCUUGAGUACGGGAGAGGUGAGUGGAACUGCGAGUGUAGAGGUGAAAUUCGUAGAUAUUCGCAAGAACACCAGUGGCGAAGGCGGCUCACUGGCCCGUAACUGACGCUGAGGCACGAAAGCGUGGGGAGCAAACAGG
Molecule: ribosomal RNA, 253 nt
Filed under: uncultured bacterium
Lineage: Bacteria
Description: partial 16S ribosomal RNA
Rfam family: Bacterial small subunit ribosomal RNA
Source: RNAcentral